RNAcentral lists this ribosomal RNA (402 nucleotides) under Botryococcus braunii. RNAcentral's name for it is "partial small subunit ribosomal RNA". It matches the Rfam family "Eukaryotic small subunit ribosomal RNA", at positions 30 to 432 of the family's 1831-position model. Lineage: Eukaryota; Viridiplantae; Chlorophyta; Trebouxiophyceae. The record is from RNAcentral.
GCUUGUCUCAAAGAUUAAGCCAUGCAUGUCUAAGUAUAAACUGCUUUAUACUGUGAAACUGCGAAUGGCUCAUUAAAUCAGUUAUAGUUUAUUUGAUGGUACUUACUUACUCGGAUAACCGUAGUAAUUCUAGAGCUAAUACGUGCGUAAAUCCCGACUUCUGGAAGGGACGUAUUUAUUAGAUAAAAGGCCGACCGGGCUCUGCCCGACUCGCGGUGAAUCAUGAUAACUUGACGGAUCGCAUGGGCUUGUCCCGGCGACGUUUCAUUCAAAUUUCUGCCCUAUCAACUGUCGAUGGUACGGUAUUGGCCUACCAUGGUGUUCACGGGUGACGGAGAAUUAGGGUUCGAUUCCGGAGAGGGCGCCUGAGAGACGGCGACCACAUCCAAGGAAGGCAGCAGG